This 467-nucleotide ribosomal RNA is filed under the name uncultured bacterium. RNAcentral describes it as "partial 16S ribosomal RNA". It matches the Rfam family "Bacterial small subunit ribosomal RNA", at positions 28 to 507 of the family's 1533-position model. The record is from RNAcentral.
GACGAACGCUGGCGGCGUGCUUAACACAUGCAAGUCGAACGGAAAGGCCCUGCUUUUGUGGGGUGCUCGAGUGGCGAACGGGUGAGUAACACGUGAGUAACCUGCCCUUGACUUUGGGAUAACUUCAGGAAACUGGGGCUAAUACCGGAUAGGAGCUCCUGCUGCAUGGUGGGGGUUGGAAAGUUUCGGCGGUUGGGGAUGGACUCGCGGCUUAUCAGCUUGUUGGUGGGGUAGUGGCUUACCAAGGCUUUGACGGGUAGCCGGCCUGAGAGGGUGACCGGCACCAUUGGACUUGGGUAAGGGCCAGGAUUCUUACGGGAGGAAGAGGUGGGAAUAAUGGCACAAGGGGCGGAGGCCGGAGGAACAACCGCGGGGUCGGGAAUAACGGCCUUGGGUUGUAAACCGCUUUCGCCUGUGACGAAGCGUGAGUGACGGUAAUGGGUAAAGAAGCACCGGCUAACUACGUG